UUGGGGAUUAGCCAAGUCGGUAAGGCACAUGACUUUGACUCAUGUAUGCGGGGGUUCGAGUCCCUUCACCUCGACC
RNAcentral lists this transfer RNA (76 nucleotides) under Clostridioides difficile. RNAcentral's name for it is "tRNA-Gln(ttg)". It matches the Rfam family "tRNA". Rfam says of the family: Transfer RNA (tRNA) molecules are approximately 80 nucleotides in length. Lineage: Bacteria; Bacillati; Bacillota; Clostridia; Peptostreptococcales; Peptostreptococcaceae. The record is from RNAcentral.